AUUGAACGCUGGCGGCAUGCUUAACACAUGCCAGUCGAACGGUAACAGGUGUAGCAAUACAUGCUGACGAGUGGCGGACGGGUGAGGAAUGCUUGGGAAUCUGCCUGUUAGUGGGGGACAACCCGGGGAAACUCGGGCUAAUACCGCAUACGCUCUACGGAGGAAAGCGGGGGACCGUAAGGCCUCGCGCUAACAGAUGAGCCCAAGUCGGAUUAGCUAGUUGGUGGGGUAAAAGCCUACCAAGGCGACGAUCCGUAGCUGGUCUGAGAGGACGAUCAGCCACACUGGGACUGAGACACGGCCCAGACUCCUACGGGAGGCAGCAGUGGGGAAUAUUGGACAAUGGGGGCAACCCUGAUCCAGCAAUGCCGCGUGUGUGAAGAAGGCCUGCGGGUUGUAAAGCACUUUUGGCAGGGAUGAAAAGCACUGGAUUAAUAACCCAGUGUGUUGACCUAACCUGCAGAAGAAGCACCGGCUAACUCUGUG
This 486-nucleotide ribosomal RNA is filed under the name uncultured bacterium. RNAcentral describes it as "partial 16S ribosomal RNA". It matches the Rfam family "Bacterial small subunit ribosomal RNA", at positions 30 to 507 of the family's 1533-position model. The record is from RNAcentral.